UGGCUCAGAGGUUAAAGCGUCUGCCUCUAAUGCAGGAGACCUGGGUUCGAUCCCUG
Molecule: non-coding RNA, 56 nt
Organism: Bos taurus (domestic cattle)
Lineage: Eukaryota; Metazoa; Chordata; Mammalia; Artiodactyla; Bovidae
Source: Rfam